GAACAGGUUCCAAAGGACUUGUGUGAAUUGUGCUGGAGCUCCACGCAACAAGGGGAUGGCAAGGACAGCAGCAAGCCAUGCUGCAGAAAUUCUUGGAGUAGGAGGAAGGUAACUUGCUGCUGCUUGAUGCCAUGGUUCAUAGCACUCUAAGCAACGUGCUCCAGGGUAGUGUGGAAUUAACAUCUGAGAGACUGAGAUGAUGAUAUCCCUGUAGAUCCUGACUUCACUCUGAACCUGACCUGCUUCAGUCUGAACGUCUCUGGUAUUUUGCAGGGUCAUCAACAUACAGCAAGAGACUCUCCUCUUCUUGGAGGAAGCCCAAGC
RNAcentral lists this long non-coding RNA (324 nucleotides) under Gallus gallus (chicken). RNAcentral's name for it is "long non-coding RNA NONGGAT005231". The record is from RNAcentral. Lineage: Eukaryota; Metazoa; Chordata; Aves; Galliformes; Phasianidae.